GACGUAGGGCGCGAGCGUUGUCCGGAUUUAUUGGGCGUAAAGAGCUCGUAGGCGGCUUGUCGCGUCGUUCGUGAAAACCUGCAGCUCAACUGCAGGCUUGCGGUCGAUACGGGCAGGCUAGAGUUCGGUAGGGGAGACUGGAAUUCCUGGUGUAGCGGUGAAAUGCGCAGAUAUCAGGAGGAACACCAGUGGCGAAGGCGACACGCUGGGUCACACCUGACGCUAAAGCGCGACAGCAUGGGGAGCGAACGGG
RNAcentral lists this ribosomal RNA (253 nucleotides) under uncultured bacterium. RNAcentral's name for it is "partial 16S ribosomal RNA". It matches the Rfam family "Bacterial small subunit ribosomal RNA", at positions 524 to 776 of the family's 1533-position model. The record is from RNAcentral.